GACGAACGCUGGCGGCGUGCUUAACACAUGCAAGUCGAGCGGUAAGGCCCUUUCGGGGGUACACGAGCGGCGAACGGGUGAGUAACACGUGAGCAACCUGCCCUUCUCUUUGGAAUAAGCGUUGGAAACGACGUCUAAUGCCGAAUAUGACCCCCUGUCGCAUGGUGGGGGGUGGAAAGCUCUGGCGGAGAAGGAUGGGCUCGCGGCCUAUCAGCUUGUUGGUGUGGGUAAUGGCCCACCAAGGCGACGACGGGUAGCCGGCCUGAGAGGGUGACCGGCCACACUGGGACUGAGACACGGCCCAGACUCCUACGGGAGGCAGCAGUGGGGAAUAUUGGACAAUGGGCGAAAGCCUGAUCCAGCAACGCCGCGUGAGGGAUGACGGCCUUCGGGUUGUAAACCUCUUUCAGCAGGGACGAAGCGGGAGUGACGGUACCUGCAGAAGAAGGACCGGCCAACUACGUGCCAGCAGCCGCAGUAA
This 481-nucleotide ribosomal RNA is filed under the name uncultured bacterium. RNAcentral's name for it is "partial 16S ribosomal RNA". It matches the Rfam family "Bacterial small subunit ribosomal RNA", at positions 28 to 523 of the family's 1533-position model. The record is from RNAcentral.